This 533-nucleotide long non-coding RNA is filed under the name Marmota monax (woodchuck). Lineage: Eukaryota; Metazoa; Chordata; Mammalia; Rodentia; Sciuridae. The record is from RNAcentral.
AAGCAGCUUCAAAAACAAGGCAAGUCACCAGGCCACCGCGUUUGAGACCCAUCUCUUAGGAAGCCGAGUCUCUGGCCCCAGCCCCGACCCACGUGCCUCAGCAAGGCUGGGCAGGACGGGGAUCAGGAGGUGAGAGAGGAGUCGUGACGUGGUGGCGGAGCCUGCCCUGCUCCCUGGAGCACCCCGGAGGUCUUUGCUCCAGGGCCUGCCCCUGUGUCAGGCCACGUUCAACUGGACAGUCCUGUGACGACAAAAUCGGGUGCCCGUGCUCUGCGGCAGGCUCUGCCAUGAGGCACACGGCGGCCACGCUGUCCUGGGGCCUGGGGUCCGGGAUCUCGCCCAGGGUGCACACCGGCGGAGUUGGAGCCCGAGCCCCACCUGAGCCCUGUUCAGGCCCCCUGCCUCCCAGGCUGACCAGUGUCUGGCCUGUCCUCAAAACCUCGCCGUGUCACAGCCACGAGGAAGCAGGACAGAGCACCAUGGGGCAUCUGCUGGGAAGGGGGACAGACUCUGCCAUGAAUCAGAGGAGUGAC